RNAcentral lists this ribosomal RNA (253 nucleotides) under uncultured bacterium. RNAcentral's name for it is "partial 16S ribosomal RNA". It matches the Rfam family "Bacterial small subunit ribosomal RNA", at positions 524 to 776 of the family's 1533-position model. The record is from RNAcentral.
UACGUAGGUGGCAAGCGUUGUCCGGAUUUACUGGGCGUAAAGGGCGUGCAGGCGGUUUGUUAAGUCUAGGGUGAAAGCUCCCGGCUCAACUGGGAGAGGUCCUUGGAUACUGGCAGACUUGAGGAGAGUAGAGGAGAGUGGAAUUCCCGGUGUAGUGGUGAUAUGCGUAGAUAUCGGGAGGAACACCAGUGGCGAAGGCGGCUCUCUGGGCUCUACCUGACGCUGAGACGCGAAAGCGUGGGGAGCGAACGGG